Molecule: long non-coding RNA, 1041 nt
Organism: Lates calcarifer (barramundi perch)
Lineage: Eukaryota; Metazoa; Chordata; Actinopteri; Centropomidae
Exons: 4
Source: RefSeq, a predicted model, not a curated record
UCGUCACGGACUAUGAUUACAGUGAGGGACAGAGCAGGAGACAAACAAAGGCGAAAAACCGACGAAAAUACGGAAUAAAACCAACGUUUCAGUCGUUUCUUCGUCGCUUUGGUUUGUUAACACACGGAGACACAUUAUCACCAGACAAGUGUGGGGUCUUGGAGCUGUUUCUGCCGUCAGGCUGGACGUUCACUGGUUUAGCUGCUGCAGCCUGGGCACCAACACCUGCUCUCACCUGACAAACAGGUGUCACCACUUCGUCCACAACAUUGUCCAUGAUCUCAGAGAGUCUUCGUACAAUGAAGAAGUUGUUUGAGACCAGGACAGUCUCCUCCAGGUCUUCAGCUGCUGUCGUCUUCUCCUCCCGCAGAGACAAGGACACGUGUGAAUCACAGAGACUGAUCAAUAAAUCUAUUUUUCCUUUCCUAAGCUAUCUGCAUUCAUUUUUGAUAUCUAUACUAUAUUUUUUGAUCAAUUUUGGUGCCUUACUAUACUACGACUUUUUUUUGAUGCUUUUUAAUGCCUUACUAUACUAUGGCAUUUUUUUGGUGCCUAUACUAUGACUUUUUUCGAUGGUUUUUGACGCUUUUAACAUUUUUUGAUGUUUUUUCAUGCCUUACUGUACCAUGACAUUUUUUGAAGGUUUUUUAAGCCUUUCCGUACUAUAACAUUUUUUGAUGUUUUUUCUUUGAAGGUUUUUUUAAGCCUUUCUGUACCAUGACAUUUUUUGAUUAACACUACUACUACACACACCUUACUAUACUGUGAUGCCAUCUUACCUUUGUUGUCCAGAGACACACACUCACACUUCCACGCAGUGUUUCUGAGUUUAGUUAGAUUUUGUGUUUCAUUUUAGUAUUUUCCUUUCAAACAGAGCAAUAUUAGUACUCAAAUCCCAUCUAUUACUGCAUACACAGUCCUGUUUAUAUUGUUCAUAUUGUUUAUAAUUUUUACAUUGUUAAAUAUUAUCUUAUUUCAUAUUUUCUUAAUAUUAUACCUUUUUUUUUUGCUGCUGCAACACUGAAUUUUCAGAGGAUUAUC